GACGAACGCUGGCGGCGUGCUUAACACAUGCAAGUCGAACGGAAAGGCCCUGCUUUUGUGGGGUGCUCGAGUGGCGAACGGGUGAGUAACACGUGAGUAACCUGCCCUUGACUUUGGGAUAACUUCAGGAAACUGGGGCUAAUACCGGAUAGGAGCUCCUGCUGCAUGGUGGGGGUUGGAAAGUUUCGGCGGUUGGGGAUGGACUCGCGGCUUAUCAGCUUGUUUGUGGGGUAGUGGCUUACCAAGGCUUUGACGGGUAGCCGGCCUGAGAGGGUGACCGGCCACAGUGGGACUGAGAUACGGCCCAGACUCCUACGGGAGGCAGCAGUGGGGAAUAUUGCACAAUGGGCGGAAGCCUGAUGCAGCAACGCCGCGUGCGGGAUGACGGCCUUCGGGUUGUAAACCGCUUUCGCCUGUGACGAAGAGGGAGUGACGGUAAUGGGUAAAGAAGCACCGGCUAACUACGUG
This 468-nucleotide ribosomal RNA is filed under the name uncultured bacterium. RNAcentral describes it as "partial 16S ribosomal RNA". It matches the Rfam family "Bacterial small subunit ribosomal RNA", at positions 28 to 507 of the family's 1533-position model. The record is from RNAcentral.